This 422-nucleotide ribosomal RNA is filed under the name uncultured bacterium. Its description in RNAcentral is "bacterial SSU rRNA". It matches the Rfam family "Bacterial small subunit ribosomal RNA", at positions 355 to 774 of the family's 1533-position model. The record is from RNAcentral.
UGGGGAAUUUUGGACAAUGGGCGCAAGCCUGAUCCAGCCAUGCCGCGUGCAGGAAGAAGCAUCUAUGGUGUGUAAACUGCUUUUGUACGGGAAGAAACACUCCUACGUGUAGGAGCUUGACGUUACCGUAAGAAUAAGGAUCGGCUAACUCCGUUCCAGCAGCCGCGGUAAUACGGAGGAUCCAAGCGUUAUCCGGAAUCAUUGGGUUUAAAGGGUCCGUAGGCGGUUUAAUAAGUCAGUAGUGAAAGCCCAUCGCUCAACGAUGGAACGGCCAUUGAUAAUGUUAGACUUGAAUUACAAGGAAGUAAAUAGAAUAUGUAGUGUAGCGGUGAAAUGCUUAGAUAUUACAUGGAAUACCAAAUGCGAAAGCAGGUUACUACUUGUGGAUUGACACUGAUGGACGAAAGCGUGGGGAGCGAACA